UGUAUAUAUAGCCAUGCAUUUCCAUUGUUCAUUGUGAAGUAUUGCCAGUUUACCCUGCCUUACCGAGUGUUUUUCAAUUGCCAUUGUUUCUUGAUUCAUUUUAUGACCGUUACCUGUUUUUCUAGAUUUACUGCUUUUUGGAUUACCCUUUGUUUUGUUUACCUAGUUGGACUAUCUAUUUGAUUUAUUGGAUGUAUCCGCCUGCUUUAUGACUACGUCUCUCUGCCUGCUGUUUUGGAUUGUUUGCUUGUGUCUCUUUCAAUAAACUUUCUGCACAUGGAUCCUAACACCGUCUGCAUGGCCAGUUCAUUACAGAAUACUUCGCCUACCAUGGAUCCAGCAGAUGUCACACAGCUCCAGGCUGCAUUUGCAUACCACAGUGCAAGGUUUUAAAGGGUUAUCAAGACCAGCUGAACAACCUACAAGCUGCCAACGAAUGUCUGACUCACUACAUUCAUAGCUGCUCAAAGUGGGUGGAAUGAUGUCGAUCUGAAAACUGUUUUCCGUGAGGGGCUUCACCAAGAACUCAAGGCGGAUCUGACAUGCAAGGGUGAGGGUUCUACUCUGUCAGAAUUAAUUGCCAUGGCUAUCAAGAUGGAUAACCUGCUUUGUAAAGUUAACGGCCCCAGUUUCACACCGUUUCUAAGUUUACAGUCUCAGUACAGGCAUAGGCAUCCACUGAAUCACCCGAACCUAUGCAAGUUGUUUACGCCAUGUUUAUAUGGAGGAACGCCAAUGUUGACGUAACGAAAAACUUUGCUAUUACUCUGGUGAACCAGGUCAUCCCAAUCCUGCAUGCGCACACAAGAAAUCAAGCUCCCAUGAAUCAAAGCUGAAAGUCAUCCUUGGCGGACAUCCACAACCCUUCUAUUUCCUGGAAUUGGGGUGUGCUCACACAAUGGCCAAGUUUCUGUCAUAAACAUUGUCUCCAUGUUGCUGUCUCCAUGACUUGUCUUACCACCAGCAUUGAAAGCCCUGAUUUCCAAAAAGUAACCAUGAUUCCCGAGGAGUAUGCAGAAUUCAAUUAAGUUUUUAGUAAACUCAAAGAUUCUCAACUUCCUCCUCACCAUCCAUGGGACUGUGCCAUUGAACGUCUGUCUAAUACAGCUCCACUGAGAAGCAAGGCUUAUCCAUUGUCACGCCCCAAGACCCUAGAUAUGGAAACUAACAUCAAGGAAGCCCUUGCCUCUGGUUACAUCCAUCCCUCCACCUCUCCAGCAGCUGCAGGUUUUUUCUUCGAGGAGAAAAAGGAUGGAGGUCUACAUCCAUGCAUUGACUAUCGAGGUCUGAACUCUGUCACCUUGAAAUACCAUUACCCACUGCCACUUAUCCCCUCAGCCCUUGAACAACUCCGUGAGGCUACGAUUUAUACUAAGCUCGAUCUAAGAAGUGCUUAUAACCUCAUCAGUAUCAGAGAAGGGAAUUAGUGGAAAACUGCAUUCCUCACCACCAGGGGGCACUAUGAAUAUCUGGUCAUGCCAUAUGGACUUGCUAACACCCCCUCUGUUUUCCAGUCUUUUGUUAAUGAGAUUUUCAGAGACCUACUGAAUCAGUGUGUGUGGUGGCCUACAUUGACGACAUCCUCAUCUACUCCCAAAACAAGGAACAGCAUAUACAGCAUGUCAGGAAAUUCCUAUCAUAUCUCCAGGAACACCAGUUAUUUGUCAGGCAGAAAAAUGUGUUACCCAUACCACGUUCCUAGGUUACAAUAUCAGCCACCAAGGUGUAGAAAUCACAGCAGUGAUGUGGCCUUGACCUUCCACAAUCAAAGAACUACAGCGGAUUCUGGGUUUUUCCCAUUUCUACUGCCGCUUCAUCAGAAACUACAGUCUCAUUGCAGCACCACUCAAGUAAUUGCUCAAGGGAAAACCCAACAAGUUGCCAUGGAAUGACACCGCAUACCAAGCCUUUGUCUCCCUCAAGUCAAGCUUCAUGACAGUUCCUAUACUGAAACACCUCAACCACAAUCUUCCUUUCGUCGUUGAAGUAGACACCUCUGUUUGUGUGAUUGAAGCCAUAUCACUAUAUUCUGGUGACAGCCAUCAUGACCAGAUCUUCUAAGCAGCCAGAUGCAUCAACUUCUGAGAUACCCCUCUUCAGAUCAGGAGUCUCCUUUCCUUGGAUAUUUUGCCAAAUGUUAUGCUAUUCUUGCUGAUGGUUCUAGUAUGAGGGGUUCAUGAAGAAAACGGUGUGUCAAAGAAAUUGGUUGCUGGCCUGAUGCACCUCAUUCAGUCACAUCUGGAUGCACUGAUGGGGAAUUUCUCUCGCUACUUCCCCCAGGAGAACUUCAAUAAAUUAAAAGACAAGCGAUAUUCCAUGGCGACUUGUUUAAUCCGCGUCGGGGUUCCGAGGGAGUAGGACCGGCACGCAUCUAAUUCACUGAACUCCUUGGCUCCACGAGUGAGAGGCGGCAUCUAAUUCAGCCGGUACCCUCCCCGCUCUGCUGCUGGACCUGCGAGAAGGAGAUAGAAGCCGGCUUCUGAGGAGAGGUGUGCUCUGCAUUUUAAUGGCAGCGGUGAAAAGGCUCUAUUAACAUAAGGUGUAUCUCAUCAAAUGCUGAAGGAUGAAGGAUGGCCCUAAGAGGCAGGAUGAUGAUGAUGAUGACAAGAUGGAGGGGCGGGUCGUUCCACUACACAUAUUAUUGCAUAAAAUACUAUAUAAGAUAUAAAAACCAGGGGAAUAUAUAUUUUUUUUGCAUGGAUGUCAUUUUGUGGUAAUUUUCUGUUCAUUAUAUAUGACUUUACAUGUAAUAAAUGUGUAAAA
This is a long non-coding RNA of Xyrauchen texanus (razorback sucker), 2763 nucleotides long. RefSeq lists it as uncharacterized. Lineage: Eukaryota; Metazoa; Chordata; Actinopteri; Cypriniformes; Catostomidae. The transcript is spliced from 3 exons. The record is from RefSeq and is a predicted model, not a curated record.